Molecule: ribosomal RNA, 460 nt
Filed under: uncultured bacterium
Lineage: Bacteria
Description: partial 16S ribosomal RNA
Rfam family: Bacterial small subunit ribosomal RNA
Source: RNAcentral
CCUACGGGAGGCAGCAGUGAGGAAUAUUGGUCAAUGGGCGAGAGUCUGAACCAGCCAAGUCGCGUGAAGGAUGACUGCCCUAUGGGUUGUAAACUUCUUUUAUAUGGGAGUAAAAUGUUCCACGUGUGGGGUUUUGUGUGUACCCGAUGAAUAAGCAUCGGCUAACUCCGUGCCAGCAGCCGCGGUAAUACGGAGGAUCCGAGCGUUAUCCGGAUUUAUUGGGUUUAAAGGGGGCGUAGGUGGAUGGUUAAGUUAGGGGUGAAAGUUGGCGGCUUAACCGUAAUAUUGCAGUUGAAACUGGUAGUCUUGAGUACACGAGAGGUGUGCGGAAUGCGUGGUGUAGCGGUGAAAUGCAUAGAUAUCACGAAGAACUCCGAUUGCGAAGGCAGCACACUGGACUGCAACUGACACUGAGGCACGAAAGUGUGGGUAUCAAACAGGAUUAGAUACCCGUGUAGUC